Molecule: ribosomal RNA, 301 nt
Filed under: uncultured bacterium
Lineage: Bacteria
Description: partial 16S ribosomal RNA
Rfam family: Bacterial small subunit ribosomal RNA
Source: RNAcentral
CAGCAGCCGCGGGAAUACCGAGGAUGCAAGCGUUAUUCGGAAUGAUUGGGCAUAAAGCGUCUGUAGGUGGCUUUUCAAGUCCACCGUCAAAUCCCGGGGCUCAACCCUGGACAGGCAGUGGAAACUACCAAGCUGGAGUACGGUAGGGGCAAAGGGAAUUUCCGGUGGAGCGGUGAAAUGCGUUGAGAUCGGAAAGAACACCAACGAUGAAAGCACUCCGCUGGGCCGACACUGAUACUGAGAGACGAAAGAUAGGGGAGCAAAUAGGAUUAGAUACCCCAGUAGUCCCUGUCUCUUAUAC